Molecule: long non-coding RNA, 423 nt
Filed under: Mytilus galloprovincialis (Mediterranean mussel)
Lineage: Eukaryota; Metazoa; Mollusca; Bivalvia; Mytilida; Mytilidae
Source: RNAcentral
AGACGAUUGAUAAUAAAAAAAAAAAAAAAAUAAAGGGGAAGUUGACAAUUUUUAGUUUUCCAAAUUGAAAUAAGUUUUAAUUUAUCAGUGGGGUUAAGGUGCGAUCUUCAUUGGAAUAGCCAUAUUUUUGUACUGUUAAUUUAUUAAGAAUAUAUCUUGGUUAGCCAAAAAGAAGGGUGCGAGUUCUAGUUCUAAUGCCACGAACAGUUGGCACAACAUGGUGUCAACGCAAUUGGUUGGAACAGAUGUUACUGCUUCCAGAGAGACUGAUGUCUUCCUCUGCGCCAUUGAUCAAGGAUGAAACUUAACCCAAUGACGAUGUUAUUAACAGCCUCUUAAGAAGGACGAACCAACCAGCUAGAUGCGUCAACUACUACGUAAUGAAGAUGAUGAUGACUGACACUUGUACAAAGAUUUGCGCCC